AUUGAACGCUGGCGGCAUGCUUUACACAUGCAAGUCGAACGGCAGCGCGGGCUUCGGCCUGGCGGCGAGUGGCGAACGGGUGAGUAAUACAUCGGAACGUGCCCAGUAGUGGGGGAUAGCUCGGCGAAAGCCGGAUUAAUACCGCAUACGACCUGAGGGUGAAAGCGGGGGAUCUUCGGACCUCGCGCUAUUGGAGCGGCCGAUGGCAGAUUAGCGAGUUGGGGGGGUAAAGGCCUACCAAGGCGACGAUCUGUAGCUGGUCUGAGAGGACGACCAGCCACACUGGGACUGAGACACGGCCCAGACUCCUACGGGAGGCAGCAGUGGGGAAUUUUGGACAAUGGGCGAAAGCCUGAUCCAGCAAUGCCGCGUGUGUGAUGAAGGCCUUCGGGCUGUAAAGCACUUUUGGCGGGAACGAAAAGGACUGUGCCAAUACCACGGUUCGAUGACGGUACCCGCAGAAUAAGCACCGGCUAACUACGUG
RNAcentral lists this ribosomal RNA (484 nucleotides) under uncultured bacterium. Its description in RNAcentral is "partial 16S ribosomal RNA". It matches the Rfam family "Bacterial small subunit ribosomal RNA", at positions 29 to 507 of the family's 1533-position model. The record is from RNAcentral.